AAGUGCUUCCAUCUCACAAGGAGGAACUGAAUACAGCACUGACAUCUUUACAAAACAAGCUCAAACAUACAAAGAAAAUGAAAGCAAAGUGUGAUAAAACAGUUCAACACAUCAAGUCUCAAGCUGAGCACACAGAGCGUCAGAUUAAAGAGGAGUUUGAGAAGCUUCAUCAGUUUCUCAGAGAUGAAGAAGAAGCUACAAUCACUGCACUGAGGGAGGAAGAGGAGCAGAA
This is a long non-coding RNA of Sinocyclocheilus anshuiensis, 232 nucleotides long. RefSeq lists it as uncharacterized. The transcript is spliced from 3 exons. Lineage: Eukaryota; Metazoa; Chordata; Actinopteri; Cypriniformes; Cyprinidae. The record is from RefSeq and is a predicted model, not a curated record.